RNAcentral lists this ribosomal RNA (264 nucleotides) under uncultured Oscillospiraceae bacterium. RNAcentral's name for it is "partial 16S ribosomal RNA". It matches the Rfam family "Bacterial small subunit ribosomal RNA", at positions 76 to 339 of the family's 1533-position model. Lineage: Bacteria; Bacillati; Bacillota; Clostridia; Eubacteriales; Oscillospiraceae. The record is from RNAcentral.
UCCAAUUGAAGCAGAGGACAGUGGCGGACGGGUGAGUAACGCGUGAGGAACCUGCCUUUCAGAGGGGGACAACAGUUGGAAACGACUGCUAAUACCGCAUGACACAUUGGGGUCGCAUGGCCUUAAUGUCAAAGAUUUAUCGCUGAAAGAUGGCCUCGCGUCUGAUUAGCUAGUUGGUGAGGUAACGGCUCACCAAGUCGACGAUCGGUAGCCGGACUGAGAGGUUGAACGGCCACAUUGGGACUGAGACACGGCCCAGACUCC